AGGAACUGUCCUGAGCCCACCAAAUGGGCUAUGUGUGUUAAUCCUCCAAAUGUGGGAUUUAGGCAGUAUUUUCCUCAUUUUAGGUUCAAGGCCUAGCAAGAAAGCACCUCUGUUUUUGCUGCAACAGUAAGUCACCUGCAUCACAUUUCCUAGGUCCAAGCCCUAUUGGUGAGUAGGGAUGGGGGAGGGCUCAGCCCUUUCUGGUCACCUCUACAAAGGAGAAGCUCUAGCCCUGGGAUGCCCCCCUCCAAGCAGAGAAAAAGCAACGCAGAGAGGACCACCACUUGGAGUCAGUGCUCACCCACGAGCAGCGCUAGAAGAACAGUGAGACCGGGUGACAUCCCAGAUGGAUGGUCUGGAGCUGCAGAGGGUGACAGGGAUAAUGCAGAUCUUCCCUCAUAUCUGCUGCUGCCUGGACCACCCAAGCAAGGGCAAGAAGGACUGAUGAGGAAUGAUGACGGCCAGGCAGAACCUACAGGGCUUUCUCGGUGCCCAGAGGCGGCAUGCGGCACAGGUCACACCCACACAGAGCCUGACACAUCCAGUCGGCACCUACUGAUUGACUGAGUCAGCCUCAUGCCAGGCCACAGCAAUUGGGGAGGAAGGUUCCCGUCUCACCAAAGAGGCUUGGUGGGUUAUUUGAGGACUAAAGUGAUAAAGCUGGUGGCUAAGGAGCCUGGGACUGUCUCUGCCUGUGCUGGCAACUUCCCCAGUAAUGCUGAGAGCGCUGCCUGCCAGCAGUCCCACAGGCACCCAGACCCAGCACGCCUUCUGGGGCUGCAUCCAUUGAGGGAGGAAGAUUCACCCUCCUUUCCUCCAUGCAAAAGGAGCCCAGCCCAGGAGCCAACCUGACAGCUGAGGGGUGUGCCUGGGACACCCUCCAGAAGGGUGAGCUCACUCCCUCUCCUGCCCCUCCUUCCCAGAAGCAUUAGACUGGAGCUGGGGGACACCCUUCCCGUCACUGCAGCAGCCUGCCCAUCACUCCCUACCCCCACCCCCAAUGCUGCCAAGAAGCUUCCUGCACAGGGAUUGGGAACACAAGGAAGGGUGGGGAAGGCAUGAUGCCAGAGAGAGGGACAGCAGGGAGCCUAAGGCAAGGCCCACCCAGGUUCCCAGUCCUUCCCUGUGAACCAUCUCCAUCAUACCCACCACCUUCUGAUGUGUCCUACAUCAUAGAUGGCAUUUAUUUUGCUCAUUGUCUGCCUCUCUCCAUUGACUUUCAGCUCUCUGCAGAGAUUCUAGUCCUUUUUGUUCAUGUCCCAGGACCUAGACCAUGAUGAGCACAAGCAGAAACAGACCCUGUCAUGGAGGAAUGGAUGUGCCACAUGGCCUAGGUGGAGCCAGGGCUAGCAAAGGCCAGGGUUCUACUCAGCACAAGGACCUCCAACUGUUUUCCAGGUUUUACCCCAUGCACUUCCCACACAUAUCCCUCAUGUAGCCCUUAGAGUGAUUAUCCUACCAGUCUCAUGACCAGAACACAAGGACCCCAGUCAUUGAGCCUCUCCCAGCCACACCACAGUCAGCAGUGAAAGAGGCAGCUGGAGCCAGCCUGGACCCAGGGAUCAUCAUUGCACCCACCACUAGUUGCUCCCUGGGAGCAGCCACUUCAGAGGGAUCCCCAACCCAUGUAUACAGCCCCUGAGAAGAAGGAGCCCUCUGCACAGGCAGGGAGUGGGUAGGGGAAGGAAACUGCUGUCAAUGUUUUCCUUACCCCAACACCAGUGAACACUUCCUCGGGAUCCCUGGGUGGCGCAGCGGUUUGGCGCCUGCCUUUGGCCCAGGGCACGAUCCUGGAGACACGGGAUCGAAUCCCACGUCGGGCUCCUGGUGCAUGGAGCCUGCUUCUCCCUCUGCCUGUGUGUCUGCCUCUCUCUCUCUCUCUCUCUGUGACUAUCAUAAAUAAAUAAAAAUUUUAAAAAAAUUAAAAAAAAAAA
Molecule: long non-coding RNA, 1934 nt
Filed under: Vulpes vulpes (red fox)
Lineage: Eukaryota; Metazoa; Chordata; Mammalia; Carnivora; Canidae
Description: lncRNA (ENSVVUG00000008419.1)
Source: RNAcentral